CCUACGGGAGGCUGCAGUGAGGAAUAUUGGUCAAUGGACGCAAGUCUGAACCAGCCAUGCCGCGUGCAGGAAGAAGGCUCUAUGAGUUGUAAACUGCUUUUGUACGAGGGUAAACGCAGGUACGCGUAUCAGUCUGAAAGUACCGUACGAAUAAGGAUCGGCUAACUCCGUGCCAGCAGCCGCGGUAAUACGGAGGAUUCAAGCGUUAUCCGGAUUUAUUGGGUUUAAAGGGUGCGUAGGCGGUCGGAUAAGUUAGAGGUGAAAGUCUGUGGCUCAACUACGGAAUUGCCGCUGAUACUGGUCGGCUAGAGAGUAUUUGAGGUAGGCGGAAUGUAUGGUGUAGCGGUGAAAUGCUUAGAGAUCAUGCAGAACCCCGAUUGCGAAGGCAGCUUACCAAGCUACUACUGACGUUGAGGCACGAAAGCGUGGGGAGCAAACAGGAUUAGAUACCCCUGUAGUC
RNAcentral lists this ribosomal RNA (460 nucleotides) under uncultured bacterium. RNAcentral describes it as "partial 16S ribosomal RNA". It matches the Rfam family "Bacterial small subunit ribosomal RNA", at positions 338 to 795 of the family's 1533-position model. The record is from RNAcentral.